This 468-nucleotide ribosomal RNA is filed under the name uncultured bacterium. Its description in RNAcentral is "partial 16S ribosomal RNA". It matches the Rfam family "Bacterial small subunit ribosomal RNA", at positions 28 to 507 of the family's 1533-position model. The record is from RNAcentral.
GAUGAACGCUGGCGGCGUGCUUAACACAUGCAAGUCGAACGGAAAGGCUCCUGCUUGCAGGGGUACUCGAGUGGCGAACGGGUGAGUAACACGUGGGUGAUCUGCCCUGUACUUCGGGAUAAGCUUGGGAAACUGGGCCUAAUACCGGAUAGGACAACUUUUUGGAUAUUGUUGUGGAAAGCUUUUGCGGUAUGGGAUGAGCUCGCGGCCUAUCAGCUUGUUGGUGGGGUAAUGGCCUACCAAGGCGUCGACGGGUAGCCGGCCUGAGAGGGUGUACGGCCACAUUGGGACUGAGAUACGGCCCAGACUCCUACGGGAGGCAGCAGUGGGGAAUAUUGCACAAUGGGCGCAAGCCUGAUGCAGCGACGCCGCGUGGGGGAUGAAGGCCUUCGGGUUGUAAACUCCUUUCGCUAGGGACGAAGCUUUUUUGUGACGGUACCUGGAGAAGAAGCACCGGCUAACUACGUG